Molecule: ribosomal RNA, 482 nt
Filed under: uncultured Lewinella sp.
Lineage: Bacteria; Pseudomonadati; Bacteroidota; Saprospiria; Saprospirales; Lewinellaceae
Description: bacterial SSU rRNA
Rfam family: Bacterial small subunit ribosomal RNA
Source: RNAcentral
GAUGAACGCUAGCGGGAGGCUUAAUACAUGCAAGUCGAGCGAUAAGAUUGGUGCUUGCACUGAUUGGACAGCGGCGCACGGGUGAGUAACGCGUACAGAAUCUACCUUAUACAGGAGGAUAGCCCCGGGAAACUGGGAUUAAUACUCCAUAGUAUCUAAAUCAGGCAUCUGGUUAAGAUUAAAGCUCCGGCGGUAUAAGAUGACUGUGCGUACUAUUAGAUAGUUGGUGAGGUAACGGCUCACCAAGUCGAUGAUAGUUAGGGGGCGUGAGAGCGUGAUCCCCCACACGGGUACUGAGACACGGACCCGACUCCUACGGGAGGCAGCAGUAAGGAAUAUUGGACAAUGGAGGCAACUCUGAUCCAGCCAUCCCGCGUGCAGGAUGACGGCGCUACGCGUUGUAAACUGCUUUUGUAUUAGAUGAAACACAGGGAUUUAUCCUUGUCUGACGUUAUAAUAAGAAUAAGCACCGGCUAACUCCG